Molecule: long non-coding RNA, 383 nt
Filed under: Ananas comosus (pineapple)
Lineage: Eukaryota; Viridiplantae; Streptophyta; Magnoliopsida; Poales; Bromeliaceae
Description: long non-coding RNA (ACOM_LNC040434)
Source: RNAcentral
AGAGAGAGAGAAAUGUAGUAUGCUAUCAGUUUUGUUUAUUUUUGGAAAAACUACCACUUCUACAGUUUCACACUUUCUCACUUUAGUACCAUGCGGUUUAAAAUAUAUCGAUUUAGUAUCAUGUGGUUUCAUUUUUAUCUUUUUAUUAUCGAUCUCACUAAUUUUUUUUUUAUUAAAUCAGUGACAAAGUUAAAACUAAAGGGUACUAAAGUGAAUAUUUGAUAAAUCUAGGUGGGGUAUCUGAAGUUUUUUGUAUAUAAUUUAACGAAAUAUUAAUGGAGAAACUGACGAAAAGAUAAAAAGAAAGUUGCAGGACACUAAUUUGAUACACUUUAAACUAUAGGGUACUAAAAUGAGAAAAUUCGAAACCACAUGAGUGGUAU